This 253-nucleotide ribosomal RNA is filed under the name uncultured bacterium. RNAcentral's name for it is "partial 16S ribosomal RNA". It matches the Rfam family "Bacterial small subunit ribosomal RNA", at positions 524 to 776 of the family's 1533-position model. The record is from RNAcentral.
UACGUAGGGAGCAAGCGUUGUCCGGAAUCAUUGGGCGUAAAGCGCGUGUAGGCGGUUCCAUAAGUCUGUUGUGAAAGUCGGAGGCUCAACCUUCGAAAGCCGAUGGAUACUGUGUGACUUGAGUACGGAAGAGGAGAGUGGAAUUCCUGGUGUAGCGGUGAAAUGCGCAGAUAUCAGGAGGAACACCAACGGCGAAGGCAGCUCUCUGGGACGUGACUGACGCUGAGGUGCGAAAGCGUGGGGAGCAAACAGG